This 214-nucleotide long non-coding RNA is filed under the name Vigna radiata. RNAcentral describes it as "long non-coding RNA (VRAD_LNC016949)". Lineage: Eukaryota; Viridiplantae; Streptophyta; Magnoliopsida; Fabales; Fabaceae. The record is from RNAcentral.
GGUUUGGUGCUAAGGGAGAACAAAGUUAUGAUGUUGAGGUUUUUCCAUGCAAAAAUAUGUUGUAAGGGUGUGGUGAUAAUCAUAUGCAUUAAUAUUGGGUUUUAUUGAGGUAUAACAUGUCAAUGAUUGGAUUUGGAUGAUUCAAGUAAUGUAUUAUAUGUGUUUGAGUAUGUUUACAUGGGUAUGUGAUGCUUGAAUGCUUGAAUGCAUGUAU